Molecule: unclassified non-coding RNA, 567 nt
Filed under: Hevea brasiliensis (rubber tree)
Lineage: Eukaryota; Viridiplantae; Streptophyta; Magnoliopsida; Malpighiales; Euphorbiaceae
Source: RNAcentral
CCUCCCACAAUUUUUCUUUCGACCACAAGGUUUCUCGCAUGUGAAUUUUUCAUUCUCUGCAAUUGUUUUGAAGCACUCCACAGUUCGAGAGGUUGAUCCACAUUGGCAUUUUUGGGUGACAAGAACCAGACAUGGUGGACAAUCCCCAGCAUGGCAGAUCUCCUUACAGUGGUGUAUUCCACAUGGAAGGGGUUUGCCACAAAUUUGCGUACAAUUUGGAAUUGGAUCCAAACAACUCUUUCUUUCCACCUGUAAACUCGUUUUCCCACAAUAGCAUGACUCCACCCUGCCUGGCAACAAGUCACAAUCCCCACAAGGGCCUGGAUGGCAAGUUUCACCACAUUCAUGAUUUCCACAACACAACAUCUUUUUGCAUGUCAAGUUGCAAGAAAAAACACCAUCUUCAGCUUUCACCUCGCCUUUUACAGCGAUGUCUCCACAGAGGAUAGUCUCCACUUUUUUCCUGCAAAAACAUGAAGCAUAGACUAGAACCUGACAAGGAUCACAAGGACCCACAUGGCAUAUCUUCUCACAUUGGUGACGCCCACAUUCAAGAAGCUUAUCACA